This 424-nucleotide ribosomal RNA is filed under the name Verrucomicrobiota bacterium. RNAcentral's name for it is "Verrucomicrobia bacterium partial 16S ribosomal RNA". It matches the Rfam family "Bacterial small subunit ribosomal RNA", at positions 355 to 776 of the family's 1533-position model. The record is from RNAcentral. Lineage: Bacteria; Pseudomonadati; Verrucomicrobiota.
UGAGGAAUAUUGGUCAAUGGACGCAAGUCUGAACCAGCCAAGUAGCGUGCAGGCUGACGGCCCUAUGGGUUGUAAACUGCUUUUAUAUGGGGAUAAAGUGGGGAACGUGUUCCCUUUUGCAGGUACCAUAUGAAUAAGGACCGGCUAAUUCCGUGCCAGCAGCCGCGGUAAUACGGAAGGUUCGGGCGUUAUCCGGAUUUAUUGGGUUUAAAGGGAGCGUAGGCCGUUUGGUAAGCGUGUUGUGAAAUGUAGGAGCUCAACUUCUAGAUUGCAGCGCGAACUGUCAGACUUGAGUGCGCACAACGUAGGCGGAAUUCAUGGUGUAGCGGUGAAAUGCUUAGAUAUCAUGAAGAACUCCGAUUGCGAAGGCAGCUUACGGGAGCGCAACUGACGCUGAAGCUCGAAGGUGCGGGUAUCGAACAGG